GGGGAUGUAGCUCAGUGGUAGAGCGCUCGCUUUGCAUGCGAGAGGCUCCGGAUUCGAUCCCCGGCAUCUCCA
RNAcentral lists this transfer RNA (72 nucleotides) under Echinococcus granulosus. It matches the Rfam family "tRNA". From Rfam's summary of the family: Transfer RNA (tRNA) molecules are approximately 80 nucleotides in length. Lineage: Eukaryota; Metazoa; Platyhelminthes; Cestoda; Cyclophyllidea; Taeniidae. The record is from Rfam by way of RNAcentral.